GCCUCUAUAGCUCAGUGGCAGAGCACUGGUCUCGUAAACCAGGGGUCGUGAGUUCGACUCUCACUGGAGGCA
RNAcentral lists this transfer RNA (72 nucleotides) under Tigriopus californicus. RNAcentral describes it as "tRNA-Thr for anticodon CGU". It matches the Rfam family "tRNA". From Rfam's summary of the family: Transfer RNA (tRNA) molecules are approximately 80 nucleotides in length. Their secondary structure includes four short double-helical elements and three loops (D, anti-codon, and T loops). Further hydrogen bonds mediate the characteristic L-shaped molecular structure. tRNAs have two regions of fundamental functional importance: the anti-codon, which is responsible for specific mRNA codon recognition, and the 3' end, to which the tRNAs corresponding amino acid is attached (by aminoacyl-tRNA synthetases). tRNAs cope with the degeneracy of the genetic code in two manners: having more than one tRNA (with a specific anti-codon) for a particular amino acid; and 'wobble' base-pairing, i.e. permitting non-standard base-pairing at the 3rd anti-codon position. Lineage: Eukaryota; Metazoa; Arthropoda; Copepoda; Harpacticoida; Harpacticidae. The record is from Rfam by way of RNAcentral.